RNAcentral lists this ribosomal RNA (439 nucleotides) under uncultured bacterium. RNAcentral's name for it is "partial 16S ribosomal RNA". It matches the Rfam family "Bacterial small subunit ribosomal RNA", at positions 339 to 795 of the family's 1533-position model. The record is from RNAcentral.
CUACGGGUUGCUGCAGUGGGGAAUUUUGCGCAAUGGGGGAAACCCUGACGCAGCAAUACCGCGUGAGUGAAGAAGGCCUUUGGGUCGUAAAGCUCUUUUCUUGGGGAAGAUAGUGACGGUACCCAAGGAAUAAGCACCGGCUAACUCCGUGCCAGCAGCCGCGGUAAUACGGAGGGUGCAAGCGUUGUUCGGAUUUACUGGGCGUAAAGGGCACGUAGGUGGCACAGCAAGUUAAGGGUGAAAUCCCGGGGCUCAACUCCGGAACUGCUCUUAAAACCGCUGAGCUAGAGAUAGUCAGAGGCGGGUGGAAUUCCAGGUGUGGAGGUGAAAUUCGUAGAUAUCUGGAGGAACACCGGUGGCGAAGGCGGCCCGCUGGGGCUAUUCUGACGCUAAGGUGCGAAAGCGUGGGGAGCAAACGGGAUUAGAUACCCGCGUAGUC